Molecule: ribosomal RNA, 504 nt
Filed under: uncultured bacterium
Lineage: Bacteria
Description: partial 16S ribosomal RNA
Rfam family: Bacterial small subunit ribosomal RNA
Source: RNAcentral
ACGAACGCUGGCGGCGUGCCUAAUACAUGCACGUAGAACGCACAGUUUAUACCGUAGCUUGCUACACCAUAGACUGUGAGUUGCGAACGGGUGAGUAACGCGUAGGUAACCUGCCUGGUAGCGGGGGAUAACUAUUGGAAACGAUAGCUAAUACCGCAUAAUAUUGAUUAUUGCAUGAUAAUUGAUUGAAAGAUGCUAUUGCAUCACUACCAGAUGGACCUGCGUUGUAUUAGCUAGUAGGUGAGGUAACGGCUCACCUAGGCGACGAUACAUAGCCGACCUGAGAGGGUGAUCGGCCACACUGGGACUGAGACACGGCCCAGACUCCUACGGGAGGCAGCAGUAGGGAAUCUUCGGCAAUGGACGAAAGUCUGACCGAGCAACGCCGCGUGAGUGAAGAAGGUUUUCGGAUCGUAAAGCUCUGUUGUAAGAGAAGAACGGGUGUGAGAGUGGAAAGUUCACACUGUGACGGUAUCUUACCAGAAAGGGACGGCUAACUACGUG